GACGAAGGGGGCUAGCGUUGUUCGGAAUUACUGGGCGUAAAGCGCGUGUAGGCGGCCCUGCAAGUCGGAUGUGAAAUCCCACGGCUCAACCGUGGAAGUGCAUUCGAAACUGCAGGGCUAGAGUCCUGGAGAGGAAGGUGGAAUGCUUGGUGUAGAGGUGAAAUUCGUAGAUAUCAAGCGGAACACCGGAGGCGAAGGCGGCCUUCUGGACAGUGACUGACGCUGAGACGCGAAAGCGUGGGGAGCAAACAGG
RNAcentral lists this ribosomal RNA (253 nucleotides) under uncultured bacterium. Its description in RNAcentral is "partial 16S ribosomal RNA". It matches the Rfam family "Bacterial small subunit ribosomal RNA", at positions 524 to 776 of the family's 1533-position model. The record is from RNAcentral.